RNAcentral lists this ribosomal RNA (460 nucleotides) under uncultured bacterium. RNAcentral's name for it is "partial 16S ribosomal RNA". It matches the Rfam family "Bacterial small subunit ribosomal RNA", at positions 338 to 795 of the family's 1533-position model. The record is from RNAcentral.
CCUACGGGUGGCAGCAGUGAGGAAUAUUGGUCAAUGGCCGGAAGGCUGAACCAGCCAUGCCGCGUGAAGGUCAGUGCCCUAUGGGCGUUAAACUUCUUUUGUGCGGGAGCAAUAAUGGUCACGUGUGGCCAGACGAGAGUACCGUACGAAUAAGCAUCGGCUAACUCCGUGCCAGCAGCCGCGGUAAUAUGGGGGAUGCAAGCGUUAUCCGGGUUUAUUGGGUUUAAAGGGUGCGUAGGGUGUGAGGUAAGUCAGCGGUGAAAUGCCCCCGCGCAACGGGGUGAAGUGCCAUUGAUACUGGCUGGCUGGAAUGCGGAUGCCGUGGGAGGAAUGUGUGGUGUAGCGGUGAAAUGCAUAGAUAUCACGCAGAACACCGAUUGCGAAGGCAUCUCACGGAUCCGCGAUUGACGCUGAUGCUCGAAAGCGUGGGUAUCAAACAGGAUUAGAUACCCGAGUAGUC